RNAcentral lists this transfer RNA (74 nucleotides) under Danio rerio (zebrafish). RNAcentral describes it as "tRNA-Ile (TAT) (tRNA-Ile-TAT-23-1)". It matches the Rfam family "tRNA". Rfam says of the family: Transfer RNA (tRNA) molecules are approximately 80 nucleotides in length. Their secondary structure includes four short double-helical elements and three loops (D, anti-codon, and T loops). The record is from RNAcentral. Lineage: Eukaryota; Metazoa; Chordata; Actinopteri; Cypriniformes; Danionidae.
GCUCCAGUGGCGCAAUCGGUCAGCGCGCGGUACUUAUAAUGCCGAGGUUGUGAGUUUGAACCUCACCUGGAGCA